GACGAACCGUGCGAACGUUGUUCGGAAUCACUGGGCUUAAAGGGCGCGUAGGCGGGCCGCAAAGUCAGAGGUGAAAUCCUCCAGCUUAACUGGAGAACUGCCUUUGAUACUGGCGGUCUGGAGUAAGGUAGGGGCAUGCGGAACUGAUGGUGGAGCGGUGAAAUGUGUUGAUAUCAUCAGGAACUCCGGUGGCGAAAGCGGCGUGCUGGACCUUUACUGACGCUGAGGCGCGAAAGCCAGGGGAGCAAACGGG
Molecule: ribosomal RNA, 253 nt
Filed under: uncultured bacterium
Lineage: Bacteria
Description: partial 16S ribosomal RNA
Rfam family: Bacterial small subunit ribosomal RNA
Source: RNAcentral